AGAGUUUGAUCCUGGCUCAGGACGAACGCUGGCGGCGUGCCUAAUACAUGCAAGUAGAACGCUGAGUACUGGAGCUUGCUCUAGUACGAGGAGUUGCGAACGGGUGAGUAACGCGUAGGUAACCUGCCUGUUAGCGGGGGAUAACUAUUGGAAACGAUAGCUAAUACCGCAUAAUAGUGACUAACUCAUGUUAGUGAUUUGAAAGGUGCAAGAGCACCACUAACAGAUGGACCUGCGUUGUAUUAGCUAGUAGGUGAGGUAAGGGCUCACCUAGGCGACGAUACAUAGCCGACCUGAGAGGGUGAACGGCCACACUGGGACUGAGACACGGCCCAGACUCCUACGGGAGGCAGCAGUAGGGAAUCUUCGGCAAUGGGGGGAACCCUGACCGAGCAACGCCGCGUGAGUGAAGAAGGUUUUCGGAUCGUAAAGCUCUGUUGUAAGAGAAGAACGAUGUGUAGAGUGGAAAGUUACACAAGUGACGGUAUCUUACCAGAAAG
RNAcentral lists this ribosomal RNA (500 nucleotides) under Streptococcus sp. RNAcentral describes it as "bacterial SSU rRNA". It matches the Rfam family "Bacterial small subunit ribosomal RNA", at positions 8 to 490 of the family's 1533-position model. The record is from RNAcentral. Lineage: Bacteria; Bacillati; Bacillota; Bacilli; Lactobacillales; Streptococcaceae.